GGGGCAUUAGCUCAGUUGGAUAGAGCGCUAGUCUCCGGAACUAGAGGUCGCAGGUUCGAAUCCUGUAUGUCCCACCA
This 77-nucleotide transfer RNA is filed under the name bacterium. RNAcentral's name for it is "tRNA-Arg". It matches the Rfam family "tRNA". From Rfam's summary of the family: Transfer RNA (tRNA) molecules are approximately 80 nucleotides in length. Their secondary structure includes four short double-helical elements and three loops (D, anti-codon, and T loops). Further hydrogen bonds mediate the characteristic L-shaped molecular structure. tRNAs have two regions of fundamental functional importance: the anti-codon, which is responsible for specific mRNA codon recognition, and the 3' end, to which the tRNAs corresponding amino acid is attached (by aminoacyl-tRNA synthetases). tRNAs cope with the degeneracy of the genetic code in two manners: having more than one tRNA (with a specific anti-codon) for a particular amino acid; and 'wobble' base-pairing, i.e. permitting non-standard base-pairing at the 3rd anti-codon position. The record is from RNAcentral.